UAUUCAAGUCACAGACUAAGAGGGAGGGA
RNAcentral lists this non-coding RNA (29 nucleotides) under Rattus norvegicus (Norway rat). Lineage: Eukaryota; Metazoa; Chordata; Mammalia; Rodentia; Muridae. The record is from RNAcentral.